GCAUUGGUGGUUCAAUGGUAAAAUAUUCUUUUUCCAUGUGGGAGAUCCAGGUUUGAUUCCUGGCCAAUGCA
This 71-nucleotide transfer RNA is filed under the name Loxodonta africana (African savanna elephant). It matches the Rfam family "tRNA". From Rfam's summary of the family: Transfer RNA (tRNA) molecules are approximately 80 nucleotides in length. Lineage: Eukaryota; Metazoa; Chordata; Mammalia; Proboscidea; Elephantidae. The record is from Rfam by way of RNAcentral.